GAUGAAGAACGCAGCAAAAUGCGAUAAGUAAUGUGAAUUGCAGAAUUCAGUGAAUCAUCGAAUCUUUGAACGCACAUUGCGCCCGCCAGUUUUCUGGCGGGCAUGCCUGUUCGAGCGUCAUUUCAACCCUCAAGCACAGCUUGGUGUUGGGACUCGCGUUAAUUCGCGUUCCCCAAAUUGAUUGGCGGUCACGUCGAGCUUCCAUAGCGUAGUAGUAAAACCCUCGUUACUGGUAAUCGUCGCGGCCACGCCGUUAAACCCCAACUUCUGAAUGUUGACCUCGGAUCAGGUAGGAAUACCCGCUGAACUUAAGCAUAUCAAUAAGCGGAGGA
This 332-nucleotide unclassified non-coding RNA is filed under the name soil metagenome. RNAcentral describes it as "partial contains 5.8S ribosomal RNA, internal transcribed spacer 2, and large subunit ribosomal RNA". The stretch from base 1 to 120 matches the Rfam family "5.8S ribosomal RNA", at positions 35 to 154 of the family's 154-position model. The record is from RNAcentral.